GGAAUCUUCCACAAUGGGCGAAAGCCUGAUGGAGCAACACCGCGUGAGUGAAGAAGGGUUUCGGCUCGUAAAACUCUGUUGUUAAAGAAGAACAUAUCUGAGAGUAACUGUUCAGGUAUUGACGGUAUUUAACCAGAAAGCCACGGCUAACUACGUGCCAG
RNAcentral lists this ribosomal RNA (161 nucleotides) under uncultured bacterium. Its description in RNAcentral is "partial 16S ribosomal RNA". It matches the Rfam family "Bacterial small subunit ribosomal RNA", at positions 358 to 511 of the family's 1533-position model. The record is from RNAcentral.